This 552-nucleotide ribosomal RNA is filed under the name Bifidobacterium pseudocatenulatum. RNAcentral's name for it is "bacterial SSU rRNA". It matches the Rfam family "Bacterial small subunit ribosomal RNA", at positions 146 to 710 of the family's 1533-position model. The record is from RNAcentral. Lineage: Bacteria; Bacillati; Actinomycetota; Actinomycetes; Bifidobacteriales; Bifidobacteriaceae.
UCUCCUGGAAACGGGUGGUAAUGCCGGAUGCUCCGACUCCUCGCAUGGGGUGUCGGGAAAGAUUUCAUCGGUAUGGGAUGGGGUCGCGUCCUAUCAGGUAGUCGGCGGGGUAACGGCCCACCGAGCCUACGACGGGUAGCCGGCCUGAGAGGGCGACCGGCCACAUUGGGACUGAGAUACGGCCCAGACUCCUACGGGAGGCAGCAGUGGGGAAUAUUGCACAAUGGGCGCAAGCCUGAUGCAGCGACGCCGCGUGCGGGAUGACGGCCUUCGGGUUGUAAACCGCUUUUGAUCGGGAGCAAGCCUUCGGGUGAGUGUACCUUUCGAAUAAGCACCGGCUAACUACGUGCCAGCAGCCGCGGUAAUACGUAGGGUGCAAGCGUUAUCCGGAAUUAUUGGGCGUAAAGGGCUCGUAGGCGGUUCGUCGCGUCCGGUGUGAAAGUCCAUCGCUUAACGGUGGAUCUGCGCCGGGUACGGGCGGGCUGGAGUGCGGUAGGGGAGACUGGAAUUCCCGGUGUAACGGUGGAAUGUGUAGAUAUCGAAAAGAACACC